UGACCUAUGGUGUAACGGUAGCACAACAGACUCUGGAUCUGUUUGUCCAGGUUCGAAUCCUGGUAGGUCAA
This 71-nucleotide transfer RNA is filed under the name Prevotellaceae bacterium. Its description in RNAcentral is "tRNA-Gln". It matches the Rfam family "tRNA". Rfam says of the family: Transfer RNA (tRNA) molecules are approximately 80 nucleotides in length. The record is from RNAcentral. Lineage: Bacteria; Pseudomonadati; Bacteroidota; Bacteroidia; Bacteroidales; Prevotellaceae.